GACGAACGCUGGCGGCGUGCUUAACACAUGCAAGUCGAACGGAAAGGCCCUGCUUUUGUGGGGUGCUCGAGUGGCGAACGGGUGAGUAACACGUGAGUAACCUGCCCUUGACUUUGGGAUAACUUCAGGAAACUGGGGCUAAUACCGGAUAGGAGCUCCGGCGGCAUGGUGGGGGUUGGAAAGGUUCGGCGGUUGGGGAUGGACUCGCGGCUUAUCAGCUUGUUGGUGGGGUAGUGGCUUACCAAGGCUUUGACGGGUAGCCGGCCUGAGAGGGUGACCGGCCACAUUGGGACUGAGAUACGGCCCAGACUCCUACGGGAGGCAGCAGUGGGGAAUAUUGCACAAUGGGCGGAAGCCUGAUGCAGCAACGCCGCGUGCGGGAUGACGGCCUUCGGGUUGUAAACCGCUUUCGCCUGUGGCGAAGCGUGAGUGACGGUAAUGGGUAAAGAAGCACCGGCUAACUACGUG
RNAcentral lists this ribosomal RNA (468 nucleotides) under uncultured bacterium. RNAcentral describes it as "partial 16S ribosomal RNA". It matches the Rfam family "Bacterial small subunit ribosomal RNA", at positions 28 to 507 of the family's 1533-position model. The record is from RNAcentral.